AAAAGCCUACAUGNCAGUCGAACGGAGUUGUUGUACAGAAGUUCUUCGGGAUGGAAGUAUAAGAACUUAGUGGCGGACGGUGUGAGUAACGCGUGGGUAACCUGCCCUUUUGUGGGGAACAACUUCGAGAAAUCGGAGCUAAUACCGCAUAAUAAUAGAGAAUCGCAUGAUUCUUUAAGGAAAGAUGGCCUCUGAAGAUGCUAUCGCAAAAGGAUGGACCCGCGUCUGAUUAGCUAGUUGGAAGGGUAACGGCCUACCAAGGCGACGAUCAGUAGCCGGCCUGAGAGGGUGAACGGCCACAUUGGGACUGAGACACGGCCCAAACUCCUACGGGAGGCAGCAGUGGGGAAUCUUCCGCAAUGGGCGAAAGCCUGACGGAGCGAUGCCGCGUGAGUGAAGAAGGCCUUCGGGUUGUAAAACUCUGUCCUUAUCGAAGAGGGGUGGGUAUGUGAAUAAUGUACUCAUAGGGCGGUAGAUAAGGAGGAAGCCCCGGCUAACUACGUGCCAGCAGCCGCGGUAAUACGUAGGGGGCGAGCGUUGUCCGGAAUCACUGGGCGUAAAGGGCGCGUAGGCGGUUUAAUAAGUCAGUGGUGAAAACUGAGGGCUCAACCCUCAGCCUGCCACUGAUACUGUUAGACUUGAGUAUGGAAGAGGAGAAUGGAAUUCCUAGUGUAGCGGUGAAAUGCGUAGAUAUUAGGAGGAACACCAGUGGCGAAGGCGAUUCUCUGGGCCAAGACUGACGCUGAGGCG
RNAcentral lists this ribosomal RNA (750 nucleotides) under uncultured bacterium. RNAcentral describes it as "bacterial SSU rRNA". It matches the Rfam family "Bacterial small subunit ribosomal RNA", at positions 48 to 753 of the family's 1533-position model. The record is from RNAcentral.